RNAcentral lists this unclassified non-coding RNA (7141 nucleotides) under Haliotis rufescens (red abalone). Its description in RNAcentral is "lebercilin-like, transcript variant X1". The record is from RNAcentral. Lineage: Eukaryota; Metazoa; Mollusca; Gastropoda; Lepetellida; Haliotidae.
AAAUGAUGCAACGUAUAGCACAUGAGAUAGAACGCAUAAACCCAUGACGUCACAUCAUACCAGCAAAGUUGUUGCCUUGUUGCUUGGCAGAUAAAUAACAAAGUGCAUACCGGCGUGCACGUUGAUAGAACUUUUCUGUCAACCUUCUCUUAUUGGAUUCAUGAAAGAUGCACCUUUAUGUGGAAGUCUGAUCGUGGUCGUGUGGCAUCACACACAGCUUGAGAUAUUGGCCGGCCAAUGGGAGACAGGUGACAGGGAAGGGAGGCAACCAGGCAACACCGGCACCAGCGAUGUCGAAGGACGACGACUACGAUGACUACAGCGAUGACUUCAUCAGUGAUGAUGAGGACGCUAAACGCAAGUCUAGGAACCAAGGGAGACAGGGUGCUUCAUAUGGAAAGAGCAAGGCUAACACAAAGUCAAGAGGUCGUGGCAGAGGGCGUGGUGGAGGACCGCCCCCGAAGCAGUCACCUAGAAUCGAUUAUGUCACUCAACGUAUGCUGUCUGCGGGUCGCAUAAAGAUCAAUGAGCUCCGGAACCAGGUGGAGGACCAUAACACAGUAAUCCGAGACCUGCGCGAAGAAAACAAGUUGUUGAAGAAGACGCAGCACCGUCAGGAAAAGGCUUUGACGAAGUUCGAGGAUCAGGAGGGCGAUCUUCCACGGCUCAUACUCAAACACAACAAUGAGGUGAGGACACUCAAGGAACAGCUUAGAGUAAUGAAGGAAAAGUAUGAGAAGACCGACCGCUAUCUCCGAGAUGCAGAGGAUGAUCUUGACAGAGCCAAUGUCAAGCUGAAGAAGUACAAGAGUUAUGCUGAGAACAAGGGGCUGCCGGAGCGAGAUGAACUCAACCGCAAGCUGUCCAAGGCAGACCUGGAUGUUGAGGAGAAGGACAACAGGAUCAAGGAGCUGCAGCGACACAUUGAUCACCUGAACAAGAACCACCGCCAUGAGCUGGGGGUGGAGAUAGCCAGACACCGGGAGACCAAGAGACAACUGGACCAGUUCCGGGGGGACAAGGACAACCUGGAGACCAAACUGAAGGAGAAGGAGAAAGAAUUGGAGAUCAAGAACAUCUAUAGUAACCGUGUGAUGCGUCCCCCCCACAAGCUGCCCGCCUCCUACGGGGGCACACCCAUGGACACCCCUCCUCCACCACGUCGGAGAGUUCCCUCCGUCGAGGAGAUGACCUCCAGGGAGAAGGCCCGAAUGUUUGAAAUGAAGCGGAGGGAAGAGGCGAAGAAGAACAAACCUAAACCUAAGCCGAAGCAGGAUGUGUUUGAGAACCGCUGGAACACGGAAGAUGAGGAGAGGGAUCGACUAGCCAUGGAGGAGAAGGAGAGGCGAGACCUGGAGAACAAGUACCUGCAGGCCAGGGAGGAAGAGGAGAGGAAGAGUGAGUGGGAGAGAGAGUUGGAGAUGAAGCGGGUGCAGGACCGAAAGCGGGAUCAGGAACAGGAGGACCUGCGUAGAGAACGUGAGCGCAUGAAGAGAGAGUCAGAAGAACUGCAGAGACGGGAGGAGAACAAGAGAAGAGAACAGCGGGAGAGGGAGGAAAGAGAGAGGGAAGACCGAGACCGCCAAGCGAGAGAUGAAAGGGACAGAAUCGAGAGAGAAAAUAGACUUAGGCAAGAGCUUGAAGAGAGAGAACAAGAAAGGGAGCGUCAGGCCAAAGCAGAGCGUGAAAGACUGGACAAUGAUCCCAGUGUGUUGGAGGAACGUAGGAGAAAGGAACUGCUUUUAGCCAGGUUGAAGGCCAUAGACGAUGGGUCAAAGGAAAAUGUGAGUCCGGUUAAUCGCUCUCCCUAUGGGGAUGAUAGCUCAACCACUUCAAGUAAAAAGAGUUACUCGUUUUCCAAGCCUACCAAGAAUUUACAUAAUGGUAAGCCUGCAUAUGAGGAAGUGAGCGUUCCAUACAUCGACAGGAGGAAACAUCAGCUGGCCCAGGAGGAGGAUGCAGCUGGGUACAACCCAUCCUUCACCAGGAGGUCCAGCUCCACUAUGAAGGGGGGUGUCAACCAAUCUCCCUCAAGGAAACCCAACAAAAAAACGGCCUUAAUGGAUGAACUGUUUGGAAAUCAGAGUGGAACCAAUAGAAAUGAUGACGACAUGCUUUUCCAAACCUCGGACUCGAGGAAACAGACUACUAAGCCUUCGUCUGGUUUCCCUUGGGAUGAAGACAGUAAACAUUCGACCACGGCAUCCCGGCCGCGAGAGAACUCGAGCACGUUGUUUGGAGGUGGUGCUGCUCUUGUGGAGGAUGACGGACCCUCAGAUAAAUCAAAACUGUUACCACGGCGACAGAGACACCACUCCAGCACUUUCAGUUCCAAACCAGCAGUGACCGCUGUUGACACGUUUGAGGAUGAUAUAGAGGAAGUCAUGUUGUAGGCAGGUUGUGUACAGUGCCCCGACUACAGUGCCUCAUCCAGGAACCUUCAUUACAACAUCGGCAUGAUCACAUUACUUCAGAGAUACUAUUUUAAUACAAGCAUCUAUAGCAUAGCAAUCACCUUCAGUUUUCACAUUUCACUCAGCAUCAGUCACGACCUCUACUCCUGUGUUAGUGCAACACCACAACCGAAGUGGUGGAUAAUUGUGUCAUACGUCUGCACAAAGCAUUUUUCUACAUUUAUGGGUCUGUUGUCAUGUUGCGCUGGUCACUCUUGGAAUAUCUCACCACAUGGACUGCUUCCUUGACUAUCGUGUGGCGAAUUAUCUGUUUUACACUGUGUGUGGAAUGAAAGGUUCCAUCAAUGCUACUCUUCCAGCUGAUGGGACCCAGGUUUUCAAUGUCAUACAAUCAUGUUGUGUUUGUUGUGUGAAUUGUGGAAAAUAUGUAAUCACACAGACAACAUCUCUAGUGUUUGCUUCACAAGAUUGAAGUACAUGUAUUCAUAAAGUUGAAAAUAGUAUGAUUAAUAACUUGAUACACAAAGAAUGUAUGACCCAUUUUUUUCUUUUAAAAGCAACUACCCUGGAACAAUAAUUUGUUUUGAGAUUGUUGGAGAUAUGUUAAAUGCUUGAGCUUGUCUACGACUGGUUAACUUGCCUCUAGACACUCCACACCAAAGACCAAAGACUUCAGGUGGUUAUUGUUAUGGCUGACAGUUUUCUAUCCAUCAUCGUGUUUCACUUUUAUAUUUUGAAAAUAUAUUCAAUCUGUUAAAGAAAUGUUUGUUUUUAGAUCCCCAGUUAAAUGUUAUGAUGAAUGGCCCUAUUCCCAAGCAGUCUCAGCACGGCAAUUCCCAUACUGAAACACUGAUGUUUGAUCAUAGAUUUACCUGCACAUUCUCAGAGGACACUGGCCACAAGUUCUGAAGCAAAUGUUGGUAGGAAAGAAUUUAAAAAAUCCAAAUUCAUGUUGUACAAGUAUUUAAUACUUUAUGCCACAAAAUUUCAUCAAAUAACUUGUUAUAACAUCCCUGUGUUCUUGGGACAUAAGACCAGCAAACAAAAUCCAAGGGUACGUAGUUUGAAAUUCUUGAUAAAGGAUGGUCACAGUGUUAGGGUUUGCUUGAGGAAUAGGGCCCUGUGUGGGUUCGUGUUCCUGUGUAGAUGGGUGCAGACUGUGGAAGAUGCUGUGAUAUUAUGGUACACGAGUACAAUGACAGGUGUUGUCUUGGCAGGAAUUAGGCUGUGAUACAAUGUGCCUGCAGAGCUUCAUUUCUUGUUUACAAAGUUGAACAGUAGCAUUGUGUCCAAAAAUACAUACCGUAUUCGACCCAAUAAGCGCCCAUGUCCCAAUAAGCGCCCCCCUCCCUUUUCCCGGAUGCCCAAGUAAGAUUUACUCACCUGUUUUUUACAUUCGGUCAAGAAUCUUUUGUAGUCGGUUAAUGAAGAGAUGUUCACCAGUAAAACGUAAGUAACAGUUUAUCUCUAGCCCCCCAGCAACAGAAGAAUAACGAUAGGCUUACUGAUGAAUUUAUGCCAAUUUGACUCUGAAUUGGUCCCAAUAAGCGCCCACCCCUUCUGUCUUUAUUUUAAGCGCCCAGGGCGCUUAUUGGGUCGAAUACGGUAUUCAAGAACAAAAUAGUUCUACGAAGGCAAGACCACUGUACAUUCUUAAUUUACGACUUUUCUUUGUCAUUGUGUCGAAAGGCAUGGGGCAAAAUAAGGCUUACGAAAAAUAUUUUCAGGGUUAUUUGAGGUUUGAAGCAUCAGUCUCUGGUUUGUAAUGUGUAUUUGUCGAGACAAAUUAUCUCAUAUCUAUAGCAUCAUUUGUCCUGAUGUGUGAAUUUGUGAAAAAGUGUUUUUAUUGCCUACUGUAGUUGAGAUUGUUGGGUUCCGUCCAUGGAAAGAGACUUUUGAUGUCCUAAAUGUUUGUUAUGUAUAUGAAUUGUUACAGUGUUGUGUAGAGACAGUUUGUUAAUGCUUGUGCCAUACUGGUGAACAAUCAAUUUCAAAGUUUCAUAUGCAAUGUUUAUUGUGUAAAUCACACAACUAAACUAUAUAUCAAAGGAAUGGGCAUAGCUAGGACAUGUAGCUAGGACAGUAGGCUGACCAAGGUUUGUGCUGCAAGUUGACCCAGUAGGCUUGUAGGCUGACCAAGACGUGUGCUGCGAGUUAAUCCAGUAGGCUGGUAGGCUGACCAAGGCUUGUGCUGUGAGUUAAUCAAGUAGGCUGGUAGGCUGACCAAGGCUUGUGCUGUGAGUUGACCCAGUAGGCUGGUAGUCUGACCAAGGCUUGUGCUGCGAGUUGACCCAGUAGGCUGAUAGGCUGACCAAGGCUUGUGCUGCGAGUUGACCCAGUAGGCUGACCAAGGCUUGUGCUGUGAGUUGACCCAGUAGGCUGGUAGUCUGACCAAGGCUUGUGCUGCGAGUUGACCCAGUAGGCUGACCAAGGCGUGUGCUGCGAGUUAAUCCAGUAGGCUGGUAGGCUGACCAAGGUGUGUGCUGCGAAUUGACCCAGUAGGCUGACCAAGGCUUGUGCUGUGAGUUGACCCAGUAGGCUGGUAGGCUGACCAAGGCUUGUGCUGCGAGUUAAUCCAGUAGGCUGGUAGGCUGACCAAGGCGUGUGCUGUGAGUUGACCCAGUAGGCUGGUAGGCUGACCAAGGCUUGUGCUGUGAGUUAAUCCAGUAGGCUGGUAGGCUGACCAAGGCUUGUGCUGUGAGUUAAUUCAGUAGGCUGGUAGGCUGACCAAGGCUUGUGCUGCGAGUAUUUCCGAUGCUACAAACUUGAGAACUACCUCAAACUCAGCAGACACAUGCCACCCUGUAGUUUGACCUUCAACCUCCCUACUAGUCUCUCUAGCAGAUGAUCACAAACCUGUAGAAAAUCAUGUGGUAUGACAAUUAUUGGUGCAAAUUACAUAAUACUUGAAGGGUCUUUAUUUUCUAAUAGAUAUGUGUAUAUAUAGUUGUAUAUGAAGGCUAUUUUCAUAUUAAAAGAUUGAUGAGUACAAUGAGUAGUACUUUGAAAUGUGAGAGAUGUGUUUGACGACUGGGGAUGGGGUAUGAUGACCUUCACCCUGCUUGGUACACAUGACCUUCACCCAGCUUGGUACACAAGACUACAGUCACUCUACUGGACACUUGGUUUAGUAAUUUGUCUCUCACUGGUUUACCUAUAUCAUUUGUACAAUAUUUCCUGAAAAGAAGGCCACCGUAUGAUCUUGCUGCAAUUAUGCCGCAGUGGAGCAUUGGUCUGAAGUGGCGUGACUGGUAACUACAGCAACUAUAGCAUAACACAAAUAUAUCCUACAAAUAUGUCAGAACAUAACCCUAUCCUACUACUGUACUAGUAAGAUAUAUUGUGUUGCUAUGUUGUGUUAUGUCAUAUCACAGAUAUUCUAAUAGUAGAAAUUCAACUCCUACAUGUUUUGGAUCUUACCGUUAAUAUGCAAUUCAAACUUUUCGUGGAUUUUUUUCGAAGUGAGUUCACAUUUAACGGUAAAUAACAAACCUAGCGUUUGCCACAAGACAGGGUUGUCAUGGAAAUGACAUCGGGAACAAUUGUCUGUUGUUUUGGUUCCACUAUUUUCCAGCGAUAUGGCUGUUGAUGUAGAAAAUAUUUAUGUGUGUCAGAGUUAGUGUGAGUGAUGCGUAGUCAGGCCAAUUUAUUGAUCUCAUUCUGCAGCUAUCAUCCUGGUUGUGAAUGUGUCGCUGAAUAUGUUAGCGUGGUGCUUCUGUCCGUGAUAAUGUAAACGGCAUCCCUAAUUCCUGGGGAUGCCUUCAAUGAAACUGCACUUAUUGUGAUAAAACAUUUUUACCUUUUUUCAAAUACAGACAUGAAUUAUAUAUUUCAUAAGCAUAGCAAUACACAGUGGUUUUAAUCAUAUUUUAUCAAUAACAAGUGGUAUGAGAUUUUAUGAAGAUAUUAUACAACAAAAUGGCACAGUCAGUUAAUAUAUUAUAUUUUUAAUCAUAUUUUAAACCUGGGAUGAAUAUAUACUGGUAGUAUUUUAGCACACUACUGUCACUGUGUGUACAGUUUGUUGUUGUAUAUGGAAGGUCUGACUGGUGCAUAUAUCUUGUAACUUUCUAGUAGAGAGCAUGGGUCUUCAUAUAGCCACACUGAUAACACAACGCAAGCUUAGUUGUCAUGGUUACCUUGAUUCAAAUAUGUAAGUAUCAGUAUCCUAUACACAGAAGGGAGGUAACUGAUGUAGCCUUGUCCUGAAUCAAGUUUGUAAGAAUAUCGGAGAACAUAAAGAUCGUUUUGUCAUAUAUUAGGAAACACAUGCACCUUGUCUAAGGAAACUUGUUCUGGCAAACUUUUAGAAUGUAAGCAUUUCGUAUAUUAAGGCCAGAUAUUUAAAUAUAUUUAUUGUGUGUGAUUCAGCCAAAUUUCACUCACUAUUUUAAAAUACUGACUUUAAUUGUAAGUAUACAUAUUUUGAACAUCUUAUAUGUAUUUUUGUAAUACGUUUUAUUUUCAAUAAGUAUUUUUUAGGAAAUAAACAUCAAGUCAAAUAUUUUUUAUUUUACCAACACAAUCUGUAAAAUAACCAUAAAAUUGGCCUGGUCCACAUUGUCUGGUAUUGGAAGUUAGUUUCUGUUCCUAUGUGAUUACCUUCGUGUUUGUUGUGUGACUGGUACAUCGGGUGUGAGAGGAAUGACUGCUCUAUCUAUCACUGUAUCUUCCAGGCAUGUCAUGGCUGAUCUACACUCUGUAAUAAACAUUUACUUAUCUAUUUA